This 297-nucleotide ribosomal RNA is filed under the name Escherichia coli. RNAcentral's name for it is "partial 16S ribosomal RNA". It matches the Rfam family "Bacterial small subunit ribosomal RNA", at positions 431 to 720 of the family's 1533-position model. Lineage: Bacteria; Pseudomonadati; Pseudomonadota; Gammaproteobacteria; Enterobacterales; Enterobacteriaceae. The record is from RNAcentral.
UACUUUCAGCGGGGAGGAAGGGAGUAAAGUUAAUACCUUUGCUCAUUGACGUUACCCGCAGAAGAAGCACCGGCUAACUCCGUGCCAGCAGCCGCGGUAAUACGGAGGGUGCAAGCGUUAAUCGGAAUUACUGGGCGUAAAGCGCACGCAGGCGGUUUGUUAAGUCAGAUGUGAAAUCCCCGGGCUCAACCUGGGAACUGCAUCUGAUACUGGCAAGCUUGAGUCUCGUAGAGGGGGGUAGAAUUCCAGGUGUAGCGGUGAAAUGCGUAGAGAUCUGGAGGAAUACCGGUGGCGAAG